RNAcentral lists this ribosomal RNA (70 nucleotides) under Pabstiella yauaperyensis. RNAcentral describes it as "partial 26S large subunit ribosomal RNA". It matches the Rfam family "Eukaryotic large subunit ribosomal RNA", at positions 1 to 69 of the family's 3401-position model. Lineage: Eukaryota; Viridiplantae; Streptophyta; Magnoliopsida; Asparagales; Orchidaceae. The record is from RNAcentral.
GCGACCCCAGGAUGGGCGAGGCCACCCGCUGAGUUUAAGCAUAUCAAUAAGCGGAGGAGAAGAAACUUAC